GUGGCUGUAGCUCAGUGGUAGAGCACUUGCCUAGCAUGUGUGAGGCACUGGGUUUGAAUCUCAGCACCAUA
RNAcentral lists this transfer RNA (71 nucleotides) under Marmota monax (woodchuck). It matches the Rfam family "tRNA". From Rfam's summary of the family: Transfer RNA (tRNA) molecules are approximately 80 nucleotides in length. The record is from Rfam by way of RNAcentral. Lineage: Eukaryota; Metazoa; Chordata; Mammalia; Rodentia; Sciuridae.